This 374-nucleotide ribosomal RNA is filed under the name uncultured Alphaproteobacteria bacterium. RNAcentral describes it as "SSU rRNA". It matches the Rfam family "Bacterial small subunit ribosomal RNA", at positions 242 to 633 of the family's 1533-position model. The record is from RNAcentral. Lineage: Bacteria; Pseudomonadati; Pseudomonadota; Alphaproteobacteria.
CAGCUAGUUGGUGGGGUAAUGGCCUACCAAGGCGACGAUCCGUAGCUGGUCUGAGAGGAUGACCAGCCACACUGGGACUGAGACACGGCCCAGACUCCUACGGGAGGCAGCAGUGGGGAAUAUUGGACAAUGGGCGCAAGCCUGAUCCAGCCAUGCCGCGUGGGUGAAGAAGGCCUUAGGGUUGUAAACCCCUUUCAGCGGGGAAGAUAAUGACGGUACCCGCAGAAGAAGUCCCGGCUAACUCCGUGCCAGCAGCCGCGGUAAUACGGAGGGGACUAGCGUUGUUCGGAAUUACUGGGCGUAAAGCGCACGUAGGCGGAUUUGUAAGUCAGGGGUGAAAUCCCGGGGCUCAACCUCGGAACUGCCUUUGAUAC